CAGUAGCCGCGGUAAUACAGAGGGUGCGAGCGUUAAUCGGAUUUACUGGGCGUAAAGCGUGCGUAGGCGGCUUCUUAAGUCGGAUGUAAAAUCCCUGAGCUUAACUUAGGAAUUGCAUUCGAUACUGGGAAGCUAGAGUAUGGGAGAGGAUGGUAGAAUUCCAGGUGUAGCGGUGAAAUGCGUAGAGAUCUGGAGGAAUACCGAUGGCGAAGGCAGCCAUCUGGCCUAAUACUGACGCUGAGGUACGAAAGCAUGGGGAGCAAACAGGAUUAGAUACCCCUGUAGUCCCUGUCUCUUAUAA
RNAcentral lists this ribosomal RNA (301 nucleotides) under uncultured bacterium. RNAcentral's name for it is "partial 16S ribosomal RNA". It matches the Rfam family "Bacterial small subunit ribosomal RNA", at positions 509 to 809 of the family's 1533-position model. The record is from RNAcentral.